RNAcentral lists this ribosomal RNA (478 nucleotides) under uncultured bacterium. RNAcentral describes it as "partial 16S ribosomal RNA". It matches the Rfam family "Bacterial small subunit ribosomal RNA", at positions 28 to 507 of the family's 1533-position model. The record is from RNAcentral.
GAUGAACGCUAGCGGCAGGCCUAACACAUGCAAGUCGAGGGAGAAGCCCUUUCGGGGGCAGAAACCGGCGCACGGGUGCGUAACGCGUAUGCAACCUACCUUUCACAGGGGGAUAGCCCGAAGAAAUUUGGAUUAAUACCCCAUAAUAUUAUUGGAUGGCAUCAUUUGAUAAUUAAAACUGCGGUGGUGAAAGAUGGGCAUGCGUCCUAUUAGCUAGUUGGAGUGGUAACGGCACCCCAAGGCUACGAUAGGUAGGGGUCCUGAGAGGGAGAUCCCCCACACUGGUACUGAGACAGGGACCAGACUCCUACGGGAGGCAGCAGUGAGGAAUAUUGGUCAAUGGUCGGAAGACUGAACCAGCCAUGCCGCGUGCAGGAAGAAUGCCUUAUGGGUUGUAAACUGCUUUUAUAUGGGAAGAAUAAGGCGUACGUGUACGUUGAUGACGGUACCAGAUGAAUAAGCAUCGGCUAACUCCGUG